This 497-nucleotide ribosomal RNA is filed under the name uncultured bacterium. RNAcentral's name for it is "partial 16S ribosomal RNA". It matches the Rfam family "Bacterial small subunit ribosomal RNA", at positions 28 to 507 of the family's 1533-position model. The record is from RNAcentral.
GACGAACGCUGGCGGCGUGCCUAAUACAUGCAAGUUGAGCGCUGAAGGUUGGUACUUGUACCAACUGGAUGAGCAGCGAACGGGUGAGUAACGCGUGGGUAAUCUGCCUUUGAGCGGGGGACAACAUUUGGAAACGAAUGCUAAUACCGCAUAAAAACUUUAAACACAAGUUUUAAGUUUGAAAGAUGCAAUUGCAUCACUCAAAGAUGAUCCCGCGUUGUAUUAGCUAGUUGGUGAGGUAAAGGCUCACCAAGGCGAUGAUACAUAGCCGACCUGAGAGGGUGAUCGGCCACAUUGGGACUGAGACACGGCCCAAACUCCUACGGGAGGCAGCAGUAGGGAAUCUUCGGCAAUGGACGAAAGUCUGAACGAGCAACGCCGCGUGAGUGAAGAAGGUUUUCGGAUCGUAAAACUCGGUUGGUAGAGAAGAACGUUGGUGAGAGUGGAAAGCUCAUCAAGUGACGGUAACUACCCAGAAAGGGACGGCUAACUACGUG